GACGAACGCUGGCGGCGUGCUUAACACAUGCAAGUCGAACGGUAAAGGCCUACCUUUCUCUGCUGGUCGAGUGGCGAACGGGUGAGUAACACGUGAGUAACCUGCCCCUGACUCUGGGAUAACCUCAGGAAACUGCGUCUAAUACCGGAUACGAGCUCCUGAUGCAUCUUCGGCGUCUGAAAAUUGUGUCGGUCAGGGAUGGACUCGCGGCUUAUCAGCUUGUUGGUGAGGUAGUGGCUCACCAAGGCUUUGACGGGUAGCCGGCCUGAGAGGGUGACCGGCCACACUGGGACUGAGACACGGCCCAGACUCCUACGGGAGGCAGCAGUGGGGAAUAUUGCACAAUGGGCGAAAGCCUGAUGCAGCAACGCCGCGUGCGGGAUGACGGCCUUCGGGUUGUAAACCGCUUUUGGCAGGGACGAAGCGUAAGUGACGGUAAUGGCAGAAGAAGCGCCGGCUAACUACGUG
This 468-nucleotide ribosomal RNA is filed under the name uncultured bacterium. RNAcentral describes it as "partial 16S ribosomal RNA". It matches the Rfam family "Bacterial small subunit ribosomal RNA", at positions 28 to 507 of the family's 1533-position model. The record is from RNAcentral.